UGUGAUGUGUUUAUUCCAAGUUUCACCAUUUAUAUAACUCAACUGCUAAGGAAUACAUACAGGGGGAUAUUGGCUCCUUUUCUAGCUGUUCACUAAAAUCUCUGAAUAACUCAAGGAAAAAAGUUGCAAUCCUCUGCUGUCACACAUAAGAGGCACAGUAAGGGAACGCAGGGGAGAGCUAUCCUUUGUGUUUAAACUUUUAUGCAAGCUCGAGGAUUCAGGAAGCUCCAGGAGACGGUGCAUAGCCUUCAAAAGUAUUACCACCAACAAAACUCGAAUGAAAGGCUAUCUGGUUUUCUCUUUCACGUUAUCAGACUGAAGCGGAAACUCCCAGGAAGACUGUUCAUGCUGAAGAGGAGAGAACGAAGAGCAGAAAUGAGUAGUGGGUGACGACAGCAUCCCCCCCCCUCUCCGCCAUCUCAAGACAAAGGGGACGCAGGGGAGUCUUGCGAAUCGGUCGGUGAAGAACUUGCUUCAGUGACCAUCUGACAUUGGAAUGUAUGGACUGCUCUUUGCUUUGCCCGGAUACUGAGAACGGAAUUAUCAUGUUUGCUUACAAAGCAAACAGCUUGGGCUCCCAGAAAGGUAAUUAUAACCCAGAAGACCCAGAUCGAAUUAGUCCUGUUGAAGUCAUUUCCCAUUCCACACUGAAGUAUCUCUUAAUGAAGAAGGUAGAUUUCUCUUCCAUAAAUACAUGUCCUCCUUAAAACGCUUCAGUGGCGUAAGAAAAUUCAUUACAUUUUGGACCUGACAAGGCUUCAACCAAAAAUAGUAUCACCCAGCCGGGCAUGGUGGUGCAUGUCUUAAAUUCUAGCACUCAGGAGGCAGAGAUAGGGGGACCUCUAUGUAUUCAAGGCUAUCCUGGUUUUCCCAGUGAGUUCCAGGCCAGUCAAGGCUACACAGUGUUGUAAAUGAUGAUGAUGAUGAUAAUGUCGCCCAGCUUGAGAGCCUGCUCAUCUCAGUCAUCUCUGCUGACCCCUGAGAGGUUCUGUCAGUUUUCACAUAUCAAAGCCAAGUCAGAAGAGGGAGGACUUGGCCAUUUCAUUACACACAAGAUCAAGUGCUGGAGAGACUCAGAUAGCGAUGACACAAAAGGAAUUCCAGAAACAUCGUAAGCAGCAUCAGCAACACUAAAACACGUGUGCGGUGACAUUAUCUCGCUGGUCCCCAGUUUACCUUGAAGAAGGCAAGUGUGUGCGGAUGGUGGAGUUCUGGAAGAGUCCCCACAGAGCACCAUGAAUACUGCAGGGGCAAAUCCUGCAGACCUCUUUGCAGAGUCAUGGCCUUCCAGGCUUGGGAGCCGGACUGCAAACAAAUCCAAGACUCGAAGCUGAUUUUCAAUGUAAUUGCUUCUCCUGCUGACGUUUUUUGUUUUAUUCUGGGUGUUUUUGUUUUUAGGGACAAGGUUUCUCUGUGUAGCCCUGGCUGUCCUGAAACUCUCUCUGUAGACCAGGCUGACCUGCCUCUGCCUCUGCCUCCCAAGUGCUGGGAUUAAAGGCGGGCACCGUCAUCACCCGGCUCCCUCUGGCUUUUAUGGGUAGUUAAGAAUAUUGCCUAGAAACAAAAAUGGAAGGAAACUUUUGGACAGAUGAGAUGGUCCUCUGCAUCUCCUCCGCUCCCGUGAAGGUUUGUUUCCUGAACUUUUACUCCCAUGCUUAUCUGGUAGAUGAUUUAUCAAGAGCAAAGGGAGGCCGGGUGGUAGUGGUGCAUGCCUUUAAUCCCAGCACUCGGGAGGCAGAGGCAAGAGGAUCUCUGUGAGUUCGAGACCAGCCUGGUCUACAAGAGCUAGUUCCAGGACAGCCUCCAAAGCCACAGAGACACCCUGUCUGGGGGGGGGGGGGAGAGCAAAGCAAAAAACUGGAAACAUUGUCUUGUAUUUGGACACACGUUUCUUUUCCCUUGUGUGGUAGAAUAGCAUCCUGGUUUUGAUCUGGUUCAAGUCCCAGCUGACUAUUCCCGGUAAUGCUCUCCUGGGUAGACCAGAAGACCAUCCUGGAAAAAGAACCUGAAGUACAGAGGACUUUUGUUUGCUUGGCUUUAGGUCCAAAGUACUCUAAGGAGAUCUUUGCCUCUGGUAGGGAGUGGCUCUCCUGUCCCUUCUCCCACCCCUGAUUCCUGCCCUCUGACUCUCAAGCACUGAGACUCCCUCAGCCUUCCCCCAGGACACCUAGGCAUUCAGAGCUCCAUGCGGAACAACUGGAUUUUUUUUUCCCCAGGAAAAUCGUGUCUGCGUCUCUUAACCAAUUCUGCCAGCCAGCCAGGACAGGCGGCCCUUUGGAAGGCAGCCCAGGUCUAGCCUUCCUCUUUGACACCAGGAAACUCCCUUGGAGGUACACAAGCUGUGACGGGAGGACUUUCCUCUUGUGGCCUCAUUAGUAAGAGGACUUGCGCUUUUCCGGAGCCAGUGGGCCCUUCCGUCUGAGAGCUGUGACCUGUGUGACCAUCAGGCUGCGUGGCCAGCGCCUUCACCCACAGAGCCAUCGUCCCGACCAUCUCUGGGACUUCCUGACAGGCAUGGUCUACCCUCGGCUCUCCACCCUGGCUCCUUAUUUUGCUUUUUGUAACUUUUUGUUCAUUAGUUUGUUUUCUUGAUGGUUCUAUUUUGUCCCUUUGGAGUUUCUAUGUCUUAUUUAGGAAAAUAGCAUGCUAUAAAUUAAGUCAAAUCACUUUUGAAAA
Molecule: long non-coding RNA, 2676 nt
Organism: Mesocricetus auratus (golden hamster)
Lineage: Eukaryota; Metazoa; Chordata; Mammalia; Rodentia; Cricetidae
Exons: 2
Source: RefSeq, a predicted model, not a curated record